Molecule: long non-coding RNA, 886 nt
Organism: Aedes albopictus (Asian tiger mosquito)
Lineage: Eukaryota; Metazoa; Arthropoda; Insecta; Diptera; Culicidae
Exons: 2
Source: RefSeq, a predicted model, not a curated record
GAAAUAUUAAUGGUACUUUUGAAAAAUAGAACAAUGGCUUGUUCCUUUACACUUAUGCAUUAAAAGUUUUACAUAAAAGUCAACGGUUUCGGCAAAAACAGGGGUGUCCAUUUCGCCCCGGGUGUCCAUUAUGCCCCUAAUCAUCGCUUUUUAUACUCAGCAUUGACGUUGUGCUGGUGGUGGUGGCCAACUGCGCGAGUGCCGCAAGGUUAAUAAGCAUAUUAAGUUGGCGUGUGGUCUAUUCCAGUAUUCAGCCGGCUUGAUAUCAUACAUAACUCCAUAUGGGCUGUAGUACUUUCCGGACUGUUUGUGCUGUUAGUGAUAGACUAAUGAUACGACAUUAUUACUGCAUACGCCGAACCUCUUCACCUAGCGAACCACAUUAUGUGUAGGAAUGAUCAAUUAGAGAAAUGUCAACAAAACAGCAAAUUACCGUGAUAGGAGCUUAUCUUCAAAGUGUUCAACAUUCAAUAAUAUUCCUUAUCUAUCGUUGAAUCUGAACAGUUAUCGCUGUGAUUCCUUGCCCUACUCGCUCAACACCAUACGGGAGAUGCGACGGCAAAUCGUACUUUGCAUUUAACUGCGUUCUACAUGGAAAUUUUCACAUGCGUCAUAAACAUGAGCUAUUUUGCAAAUAGCGUCGCUGUCAACCACGAUUUACGCAACUAUUACGGAGCGUCUAUGAAUUAGGCCACGCUAUCAAGGACAAUGGGCAAUCCAGCAAAGCUUGGUGAUCCAUGCAAAAUAAAUCAGAAUUCACAUAUAAAAAGUGUGACAUAGCGGACAUAGCGGAAGGGACGAGGAAAUAGUAAACUUUUGCAUUGAGCAAUAACCAACGAUUACAUUUUAGGGAUAAUAAAAUUCUGAAUAUUUUUUAGCUACCGCA